GAUACAGUAGAAAAGCGGUUAACUCGUUCGUCUCGAAAACGAAUCCCUUCGGGGGCGCAGGUUCAAGUCCUGCCUGUAUCG
This 81-nucleotide transfer RNA is filed under the name Dictyostelium purpureum. It matches the Rfam family "tRNA". From Rfam's summary of the family: Transfer RNA (tRNA) molecules are approximately 80 nucleotides in length. Their secondary structure includes four short double-helical elements and three loops (D, anti-codon, and T loops). The record is from Rfam by way of RNAcentral. Lineage: Eukaryota; Evosea; Eumycetozoa; Dictyosteliales; Dictyosteliaceae.